GUAAAGAAUCUUCCGCAAUGGGCGAAAGCCUGACGGAGCAACACUGCGUGGUGGAUGAAGGCCUUCGGGUCGUAAACACCUUUUCUGGGGGAAGAAGUUCUGACGGUACCCCAGGAAUAAGCGACGGCUAAUUACGUGCCAGCAGCCGCGGUAAUACGUAAGUCGCAAGCGUUAUCCGGAAUUAUUGGGCGUAAAGCGUCCGUAGGCGUCUUGAUUAGUCUGAUGUUAAAUCUUGGAGCUCAACUCCAAGUUCGUAUCGGAAACUAUCGGGAUUGAGUAGUGCAGGGGCAGAUGGAAUUCCAGAAGUAGGGGUAAAAUCCGUAGAUCUCUGGAGGAACACCAAACGCGAAGGCAUUCUGCUGGGCACUCACUGACGCUCAUGGACGAAAGCGUGGGUAGCAAACGGGAUUAGAAACCCGGGUAGUCC
RNAcentral lists this ribosomal RNA (427 nucleotides) under uncultured bacterium. RNAcentral describes it as "bacterial SSU rRNA". It matches the Rfam family "Bacterial small subunit ribosomal RNA", at positions 354 to 796 of the family's 1533-position model. The record is from RNAcentral.